Molecule: RNA transcript, 753 nt
Organism: Amphimedon queenslandica
Lineage: Eukaryota; Metazoa; Porifera; Demospongiae; Haplosclerida; Niphatidae
Exons: 5
Source: RefSeq, a predicted model, not a curated record
CAGACAGCACAAGAGAGGUAGGUACUGUAUCAUAAUGCUACCAGUAUUAAUUAAUUAAUUAAUUAGACAGAUCACGAUCACCUCUUAAUGUGAAGAAAACCACAUCAACUGAUCAAAGUAAUAAAGAAAAACAGGCAAAAGUUGACAACGAUGAAUACAAAAACAUGGUAAUUAAUAAUUAAAAGCAUUUAAUUAAUUAUUGCGUAAUGAGACUCCUGCUGAAAGGCUCAAAGCUAAAGUAAAGGUACUCUUAGACAAGACCACGCCCUCUGGAGCCACGCCUCCACCCAAUCCGGUACAAGUACUUGAGCUGGAAACAGAGAAUGAGUUUAAACCACAGAGUUUCACAUCAAAAAGAAAAGACAAGAAUAAUCAAGAGGAUAAAGUUUCCGAAGGUACUUCUAUUGGUCGACAUGACGAUGCAAUGUUUGGUGCAACUAAACGAGACGAUGAAGGGAUGGAAAUAAUUUCACACGUACCGUCUCUAAUUACAAAAACAAUCGAAUUACCGGUUCUCAGUGAUGCUGAGGUCAGCAGAUUAUCGGAAGAAAGAGCUUUAAAAUGGAAAGAAAAAUUAAAACUUUUACGAGAAAAAUAUAUACAUGUACAUAACUAAAUAAUUAUUAAGCAACAAGAACAAUAACAAUAAUAAUAAUAAUAAUAAUAAUAAUUGCAGAUGGCAUUUGAAAUGAAGUGUGUCUUAUAUAAUACAUCUGUGGAUUAAUUGAUGAAUAUUAUUAAUUAUUAUAUAAA